AUUGAACGCUGGCGGCAUGCUUUACACAUGCAAGUCGAACGGUAACAGGCCGCAAGGUGCUGACGAGUGGCGAACGGGUGAGUAAUGCAUCGGAACGUGCCCAGACGUGGGGGAUAACUACUCGAAAGAGUAGCUAAUACAGCAUACGAUCUAUGGAUGAAAGCGGGGGACCGCAAGGCCUCGUGCGAUUGGAGCGGCUGAUGUCAGAUUAGGUAGUUGGUGGGGUAAAGGCUCACCAAGCCAACGAUCUGUAGCUGGUCUGAGAGGACGACCAGCCACACUGGGACUGAGACACGGCCCAGACUCCUACGGGAGGCAGCAGUGGGGAAUUUUGGACAAUGGGCGCAAGCCUGAUCCAGCAAUGCCGCGUGCAUGAAGAAGGCCUUCGGGUUGUAAACUGCUUUUGUACGGAACGAAACGGCUCUGGUUAAUACCCGGGGCUAAUGACGGUACCGUAAGAAUAAGCACCGGCUAACUACGUG
This 482-nucleotide ribosomal RNA is filed under the name uncultured bacterium. Its description in RNAcentral is "partial 16S ribosomal RNA". It matches the Rfam family "Bacterial small subunit ribosomal RNA", at positions 30 to 507 of the family's 1533-position model. The record is from RNAcentral.